RNAcentral lists this transfer RNA (361 nucleotides) under uncultured Microcystis sp. RNAcentral describes it as "partial 16S-23S ribosomal RNA intergenic spacer". The stretch from base 136 to 209 matches the Rfam family "tRNA". The record is from RNAcentral. Lineage: Bacteria; Bacillati; Cyanobacteriota; Cyanophyceae; Chroococcales; Microcystaceae.
AAAGGGAGACCUAAUUCAGGUAUGGGACGAAAAAAAAGUAGUCGCUACCAAGAAUCAAUCCCAAAAGGUCGGAGCGAGGCGAAAUUGGCUUUCAAACUAGGUUCUGGGUUCACACAAGACCUGAAUCAGGAACAAGGGCUAUUAGCUCAGGUGGUUAGAGCGCACCCCUGAUAAGGGUGAGGUCCCUGGUUCGAGUCCAGGAUGGCCCACCUGCACAGGUGGUAAAAACAAGAGAAGCGAGGAAUCAGCACCUUAUCUUACUUACAUAGUAAGAGAGAAUGCUGGCUCUGAGUAAAGAGUCCAGAGGAACCUUGAAAACUGCAUAGAGCUAGGUGAAAAAGCCAAAAAAGAAGACCGCAAG